This 1555-nucleotide ribosomal RNA is filed under the name Salmonella enterica subsp. enterica serovar Enteritidis. RNAcentral describes it as "bacterial SSU rRNA". It matches the Rfam family "Bacterial small subunit ribosomal RNA". The record is from RNAcentral. Lineage: Bacteria; Pseudomonadati; Pseudomonadota; Gammaproteobacteria; Enterobacterales; Enterobacteriaceae.
UUAAAUUGAAGAGUUUGAUCAUGGCUCAGAUUGAACGCUGGCGGCAGGCCUAACACAUGCAAGUCGAACGGUAACAGGAAGCAGCUUGCUGCUUCGCUGACGAGUGGCGGACGGGUGAGUAAUGUCUGGGAAACUGCCUGAUGGAGGGGGAUAACUACUGGAAACGGUGGCUAAUACCGCAUAACGUCGCAAGACCAAAGAGGGGGACCUUCGGGCCUCUUGCCAUCAGAUGUGCCCAGAUGGGAUUAGCUUGUUGGUGAGGUAACGGCUCACCAAGGCGACGAUCCCUAGCUGGUCUGAGAGGAUGACCAGCCACACUGGAACUGAGACACGGUCCAGACUCCUACGGGAGGCAGCAGUGGGGAAUAUUGCACAAUGGGCGCAAGCCUGAUGCAGCCAUGCCGCGUGUAUGAAGAAGGCCUUCGGGUUGUAAAGUACUUUCAGCGGGGAGGAAGGUGUUGUGGUUAAUAACCGCAGCAAUUGACGUUACCCGCAGAAGAAGCACCGGCUAACUCCGUGCCAGCAGCCGCGGUAAUACGGAGGGUGCAAGCGUUAAUCGGAAUUACUGGGCGUAAAGCGCACGCAGGCGGUCUGUCAAGUCGGAUGUGAAAUCCCCGGGCUCAACCUGGGAACUGCAUUCGAAACUGGCAGGCUUGAGUCUUGUAGAGGGGGGUAGAAUUCCAGGUGUAGCGGUGAAAUGCGUAGAGAUCUGGAGGAAUACCGGUGGCGAAGGCGGCCCCCUGGACAAAGACUGACGCUCAGGUGCGAAAGCGUGGGGAGCAAACAGGAUUAGAUACCCUGGUAGUCCACGCCGUAAACGAUGUCUACUUGGAGGUUGUGCCCUUGAGGCGUGGCUUCCGGAGCUAACGCGUUAAGUAGACCGCCUGGGGAGUACGGCCGCAAGGUUAAAACUCAAAUGAAUUGACGGGGGCCCGCACAAGCGGUGGAGCAUGUGGUUUAAUUCGAUGCAACGCGAAGAACCUUACCUGGUCUUGACAUCCACAGAAGAAUCCAGAGAUGGAUUUGUGCCUUCGGGAACUGUGAGACAGGUGCUGCAUGGCUGUCGUCAGCUCGUGUUGUGAAAUGUUGGGUUAAGUCCCGCAACGAGCGCAACCCUUAUCCUUUGUUGCCAGCGGUUAGGCCGGGAACUCAAAGGAGACUGCCAGUGAUAAACUGGAGGAAGGUGGGGAUGACGUCAAGUCAUCAUGGCCCUUACGACCAGGGCUACACACGUGCUACAAUGGCGCAUACAAAGAGAAGCGACCUCGCGAGAGCAAGCGGACCUCAUAAAGUGCGUCGUAGUCCGGAUUGGAGUCUGCAACUCGACUCCAUGAAGUCGGAAUCGCUAGUAAUCGUGGAUCAGAAUGCCACGGUGAAUACGUUCCCGGGCCUUGUACACACCGCCCGUCACACCAUGGGAGUGGGUUGCAAAAGAAGUAGGUAGCUUAACCUUCGGGAGGGCGCUUACCACUUUGUGAUUCAUGACUGGGGUGAAGUCGUAACAAGGUAACCGUAGGGGAACCUGCGGUUGGAUCACCUCCUUACCUUAAAGAAG